RNAcentral lists this ribosomal RNA (190 nucleotides) under Lysinibacillus fusiformis. Its description in RNAcentral is "partial 16S ribosomal RNA". It matches the Rfam family "Bacterial small subunit ribosomal RNA", at positions 76 to 257 of the family's 1533-position model. The record is from RNAcentral. Lineage: Bacteria; Bacillati; Bacillota; Bacilli; Caryophanales; Bacillaceae.
GAGCUUGCUCCUUUGACGUUAGCGGCGGACGGGUGAGUAACACGUGGGCAACCUACCUUAUAGUUUGGGAUAACUCCGGGAAACCGGGGCUAAUACCGAAUAAUCUGUUUCACCUCAUGGUGAAAUAUUGAAAGACGGUUUCGGCUGUCGCUAUAGGAUGGGCCCGCGGCGCAUUAGCUAGUUGGUGAGG